CCUACGGGAGGCAGCAGUAAGGAAUAUUGGUCAAUGGGCGCAAGCCUGAACCAGCCAUGCCGCGUGCAGGAAGACGGCCCUAUGGGUUGUAAACUGCUUUUGAACAAGAGAAAACCUCGGUACGUGUACCGAGCUGAUAGUAUUGUUAGAAUAAGCAUCGGCUAACUUCGUGCCAGCAGCCGCGGUAAGACGAAGGAUGCAAGCGUUAUCCGGAUUCAUUGGGUUUAAAAGGGUGCGUAGGCGGCCUGAUAAGUCAGUGGUGAAAUCUCUCAGCUUAAACUGAGAAACUGCCAUUGAUACUGUCGGGCUUGAGUACAGAUGAUGUGGGCGGAAUAUGACAUGUAGUGGUGAAAUACUUAGAUAUGUCAUAGAACACCGAUUGCGAAGGCAGCUCACAAAACUGUAACUGACGCUGAGGCACGAAAAGUGCGGGGGAUCAAACAGGAUUAGAUACCCUGGUAGUCCGCACCGUAAACGAUGAUUACUCGUUGUUGGCAAUAUGACCGUCAGCGACCAAGCGAAAAGCGAUAAAGACUCCACCCUGGGGAGUACGCCGGCAACGGUGAAACUCAAAGGAAAUUGACGGCNGAGAGNGCGACGACGACACGAGGGAGGAGGAG
Molecule: ribosomal RNA, 620 nt
Filed under: uncultured bacterium
Lineage: Bacteria
Description: bacterial SSU rRNA
Rfam family: Bacterial small subunit ribosomal RNA
Source: RNAcentral